AUAUGACCUUCCUCUGCAUGGGGGUUGGUGGAAAGCUCCGGCGGUGCAGGAUGAUCCCGCGGCCUAUCAGCUUGUUGGUGGGGUAAUGGCCUACCAAGGCGACGACGGGUAGCCGGCCUGAGAGGGCGACCGGCCACACUGGGACUGAGACACGGCCCAGACUCCUACGGGAGGCAGCAGUGGGGAAUAUUGCACAAUGGGCGAAAGCCUGAUGCAGCGACGCCGCGUGAGGGAUGACGGCCUUCGGGUUGUAAACCUCUUUCAGCAGGGAAGAAGCGCAAGUGACGGUACCUGCAGAAGAAGCACCGGCUAACUACGUGCCAGCAGCCGCGGUAAUACGUAGGGUGCGAGCGUUGUCCGGAAUUAUUGGGCGUAAAGAGCUCGUAGGCGGCUUGUCACGUCGGGUGUGAAAGCCCGGGGCUUAACCCCGGGUCUGCAUUCGAUACGGGCAGGCUUGAGUGUGGUAGGGGAGAUCGGAAUUCCUGGUGUAGCGGUGAAAUGCGCAGAUAUCGGAGGAACACCGGUGGCGAAGGCGGAUCUCUGGGCCCAUUACUGACGCUGAGGAGCGAAAGCGUGGGGAGCGAACAGG
This 589-nucleotide ribosomal RNA is filed under the name Kitasatospora sp. RNAcentral's name for it is "bacterial SSU rRNA". It matches the Rfam family "Bacterial small subunit ribosomal RNA", at positions 173 to 776 of the family's 1533-position model. The record is from RNAcentral. Lineage: Bacteria; Bacillati; Actinomycetota; Actinomycetes; Kitasatosporales; Streptomycetaceae.